This 492-nucleotide ribosomal RNA is filed under the name uncultured bacterium. RNAcentral describes it as "partial 16S ribosomal RNA". It matches the Rfam family "Bacterial small subunit ribosomal RNA", at positions 29 to 507 of the family's 1533-position model. The record is from RNAcentral.
AGUGAACGCUGGCGGUAGGCCUAACACAUGCAAGUCGAACGGCAGCACAGUAAGAGCUUGCUCUUACGGGUGGCGAGUGGCGGACGGGUGCGUAAUACAUCGGAAUCUACUUUUUCGUGGGGGAUAACGUAGGGAAACUUACGCUAAUACCGCAUACGACCUACGGGUGAAAGCAGGGGAUCUUCGGACCUUGCGCGAUUGAAUGAGCCGAUGUCGGAUUAGCUAGUUGGCGGGGUAAAGGCCCACCAAGGCGACGAUCCGUAGCUGGUCUGAGAGGAUGAUCAGCCAGACUGGAACUGAGACACGGCCCAGACUCCUACGGGAGGCAGCAGUGGGGAAUAUUGGACGAUGGGCGCAAGCCUGAUCCAGCCAUACCGCGUGGGUGAAGAAGGCCUUCGGGUUGUAAAGCCCUGUUGUUGGGAAAGAAGAGCAGCAGUUUUAUACCCCGCUGUUCUGACGGUACCCAAAGAAUAAGCACCGGCUAACUUCGUG